GAGCUCGUUCACUUCCUGUAGGGACUGAAAACCAAGUGAGGAGAUGAGGGAUUUCCCCAUAAUACACCAAAGAGUACAGAAAGAAUAGACACCACAGAUGGAUCUUCAGCAGCACCCAAGGGAACAACUACAUAACUGUGGAAAGACAUCCAGUCCCUUCACAGCAUUGCUGAACACAGAAGUUUGAACAAUGAAACAAUCAUCUGGAAACCAGUUUUUAGACAUCUCAUUAGAUCUGAAACUGUUUGGUGGUGUGGGGCCUUCCAUCAAAACCAACCUUUCUGAAGGUUUUGCGGUGGGUGGCUGGUCAGGGUGAGGUUGGAAAGAAGUGUGACGGGGCCCCAAGUGUUGUGAGAACUUCAGUCUUUCACCAGGGCUCACGAACCACUGAAUUACUCCUACAGGUAAGAAGCUGUUCAAAUGUGGGAUGUGUGAGGAGGCUGAUCAGACUCAUAAAAUCUGCUGACUCACAAGGCUCAUCUGUUCUUUGGCAACAUGGGAAAAAAAAUCAAAUGUAAGGUGUGUGACAAAGCAUUUGCUCAGUAAUCAUGCUUCAGAAACAUCGACACAUCCACACUGGGGAGAAGCUCUUCACAUGUGACCUGUGUGACAAAGCAUUCACAUGGUCAUUGAGUCUCAGGCUCCAUCAGAAAACGCGUAUGGGGAGAAAUCCUUUAAGUGUACAAUUUCUAAUAAAGCUUUCACAACA
Stegostoma tigrinum is the source of this 709-nucleotide long non-coding RNA. RefSeq lists it as uncharacterized. The record is from RefSeq and is a predicted model, not a curated record. The transcript is spliced from 2 exons. Lineage: Eukaryota; Metazoa; Chordata; Chondrichthyes; Orectolobiformes; Stegostomatidae.